UGGGGAAUAUUGGACAAUGGGCGGAAGCCUGAUCCAGCAACGCCGCGUGAGGGAUGACGGCCUUCGGGUUGUAAACCUCUUUCAGUACCGACGAAGCGAAAGUGACGGUAGGUACAGAAGAAGGACCGGCCAACUACGUGCCAGCAGCCGCGGUAAUACGUAGGGUCCGAGCGUUGUCCGGAAUUAUUGGGCGUAAAGGGCUCGUAGGCGGUUUGUCGCGUCGGGAGUGAAAACAGCGGGCUUAACUCGUUGCUUGCUUUCGAUACGGGCAGACUAGAGGUAUGCAGGGGAAGAAUGGAAUUCCUGGUGUAGCGGUGAAAUGCGCAGAUAUCAGGAGGAACACCGGUGGCGAAGGCGGUUCUCUGGGCAUUACCUGACGCUGAGGAGCGAAAGUGUGGGGAGCGAACAGGAUUAGAUACCCUGGUAGUCCACACCGUAAACGUUGGGCGCUAGGUGUGGGGUCCUUUCCACGGAUUCCGUGCCGUAGCUAACGCAUUAAGCGCCCCGCCUGGGGGAGUACGGCCGCAAGGCUCAAAAC
RNAcentral lists this ribosomal RNA (538 nucleotides) under uncultured bacterium. RNAcentral describes it as "partial 16S ribosomal RNA". It matches the Rfam family "Bacterial small subunit ribosomal RNA", at positions 355 to 900 of the family's 1533-position model. The record is from RNAcentral.